This 234-nucleotide long non-coding RNA is filed under the name Lathyrus oleraceus (garden pea). Its description in RNAcentral is "Pisum sativum (pea) long non-coding RNA (PSAT_LNC010990)". Lineage: Eukaryota; Viridiplantae; Streptophyta; Magnoliopsida; Fabales; Fabaceae. The record is from RNAcentral.
AAAAAUGAUUUAUUUUUUCUCCGUUGGAUUUUUCACAAAUGCGUAGCAAUUUUGAAGUUAAAAAUUUAAUUUAAUUUCAAAAAUUGAUUACACACAUAGAGUAUUGUUGACCAGCCUCAGGUAGGAUGAUUCCUACAUGAAUCAUCUUACGAUUGCUUAACACAACGCUAAUUAUGUAGUUCAAUUUCUUGAUUUUUACUUCGAGUCCCUUGGCUUUCUCUUGGGCCUUCUUAC